Non-coding RNA from Pelobates cultripes (western spadefoot toad), 549 nucleotides. NCBI's taxonomy places the organism in Eukaryota, Metazoa, Chordata, Amphibia, Anura, Pelobatidae. The record is from the annotation of a GenBank genome assembly.
GUGGAAUCUAUUCUGAAAUAGAGGAACUGAAUCACUCGGAACUGGGAUCGAACCAACUCCUCUCUGUUCACUAUGAAUCCCAACAAUUCCCGAAACUGUAAACAUAAAUCUCGUUUGUAAACGUAGUCAUGAAUUGGAUUUGCAAAAGGUAAGUCGUCUAGGUAUGUGACAGCAGAUACCCUUUGCUUUUCAGUGCACAGUGACCGACUUCAGAAACUUCAUGAGGCACCAUGUGAACCUAUAGGUAAGUGCCCUUCAAGUCCAACCUUGUAGAUCCCCUAAGAGAUGGAUACCUUCCUUCUUGAGUUGUCGGUACGCCCCAAAACCAUUGGGUUGGCAUAGGUUGAUGACUGGGUGAUAGUCUCCUAUCUUCUUCCUUACUACCAAACCGUUGCUGAGAUAAAUGGUUCUCCAAACGAUAGUCCGUCUGCCUGAGGUCCUCGCUCUUUCGUCCCUAACUUCAAUAGUUUGAAAUCCAUCUUUAAUCGGGCUGCUUUGCGGCGUUCUGUGCACCUGUCUGCCUUGCGUUCCCCAACUUACAUAUUGCCC